UUGAAGCUCUGCUGGUUGGAAGCUGGAAGAUAUGUGGCAGGCUCUCCAGGCGAGAAGCAACAGAGAGCCUAGAGAGCCUAAACAGAAGCAAGGGGUUGGUGGGAACCGGAGGUUGUACGGAGGGACAGACCCUUGUGGGAAUCUGACUCCUCCUACUUACCAGUUACCACUUCCAGUCUGUGACCCCGUGCUGGUUAGGAAUUUCUAAGCCUCUUUGUCCUCUCUAUAAAAUAAAGCAGAGAAUGGCACCAACUUCAGAGAUCCCUGUGAGGAUUUAAUGUGAUAAUGCAUGUAAACUCUUAGUGCCUGCAUAGUAAGUGCUCAACAAACGUUAGUUACUAUUUUAGUCAGGUACUAUUAUUAUUUUUGAGUACCAUGGGAGGCACCGAAGCGGACCGAGACAGACCCCUCAUCCAGCAAAACAAAAUACCGUGGGCCUGUCACAAUGCUCUGCAAACACGGAAAAGCCACAGCUUAAUCUUGCCGGCGGCGAAGGCUUCGCAGAGAUGCACCUGGAGCCCUGAGUGAAAAGUAAACCGCAUUCUGAAAGGCAGUGGACUUAGACUGAAAACUGCAACUCAGUCGAAUGCAAACAGAGCGAAACUGGUCCUGACUGGGGCUCAGAGAAGAGUGAGCAAGAUGAUGACGGUGAAGAUGAUAAACAGAAGGAGAAGAAGAAGCUAUGAACUUAGUGGUUAACUUUUUCAGGUCUCCAAAUGCCAGGGAGCCAAAAGUGCCCUGUGAAAACAUCCUGCUUAAUUUAAGACUCAGAUGGAAUGGGAAUAACAAUCAUGCCAGGUUCCUCUUUGUAUUCAUUUACUCAGGACCUUCUCUUUACCAAGCACUUUGCACGUCUCAUUCACCGAGGUGUCUCGUUAAGUCCAUAGGCUCUAUAUGUGUCUAAUCAGUAAAACCAUUGUAAGGAGGAUUAGAUGAUACAAUGUUUUCAAGCACCUAGUGCUACAUCUGCAUCAAAAUAUCCUGUUUCCUGCCCCAUCCAUUAGCCCUUAUAUCAUUUAUUUGGCCUUUGUCCUAUGCUGCCCUGCAUUGUUACCUCUCAGUUUACAGUAUCUGUCUGGCCUUCUUAGCCAAAUUGUAGGAACUCUGGGAUCACAAGCAGUUCUCAUGAAGGUGGUUCUCAAAUUUUCAAAUUGGUAUUUUUUCAAUGUAUGAAACUGGAUACACUACACAUUGACACUCCGAAAAUGACAGUUCUGAGCUAAUUUCAGACUUCUACACAUCACCCAAUGAGCAAGAACUUGAACUCUCAAAUGGUGGUGUCUCUUGCCAGGAUGACGACCAUUUUUGUUUAUUCUCUUAUAUGCAUAGUUUAUUGCAUUUGUCCUUCUAAUUUUAUAACAAGUGCAAAACAGUGACAAAAAAAAAGUGAUAAAUAAGAUGGUGAGAUGAUAAAAAACAUCACCUAAAUGGCAGAUCUAUAUCCUCAACUGAAUGUUCAUUGAACUUCAACCUAUAUCUGCAUUCAACUUUGGAGGAUAAGAAUAAAAUGCAAGGUUAUCAUGAAACAUUGGGAUUCUCUUCUCAGGCUCUGCCAAAAUGGACAGAGUGGUGGUAGGAGACAUGAAGAAAUCUUUAGGUUAUGAAUUGUCAGUAUGUGUAAAAAUCAUUGCUAUGACUCAAAUGUCCAGAGGAGUUCAAGGCUGAGAGAACUAUUGCCGAGAGUAAAGCUCACACUGAUCCCUGGGAACACAGGCCAAAGUUCAAUUUCCUUUGACAUAAUUUUUUUAACAAAAAAAUAAUACAAUAAAAUCAUCAUCGUAAACUCAUACUCAAUCUCCUGCACAAGUGCAUUUGCAAAUCCUUUUUCACACAACGAAAUGAUUUUUUUUCUAUUUACAAGAUGCCGUUUUUAGAAACUCAG
Molecule: long non-coding RNA, 1882 nt
Organism: Herpailurus yagouaroundi (jaguarundi)
Lineage: Eukaryota; Metazoa; Chordata; Mammalia; Carnivora; Felidae
Exons: 4
Source: RefSeq, a predicted model, not a curated record